UAGUCUGGGAAACUGCCUGAUGGAGGGGGAUAACUACUGGAAACGGUAGCUAAUACCGCAUAACGUCGCAAGACCAAAGUGGGGGACCGUUCGGGCCUCAUGCCAUCAGAUGUGCCCAGAUGGGAUUAGCUAGUAGGUGGGGUAAAGGCUCACCUAGGCGACGAUCUCUAGCUGGUCUGAGAGGAUGAUCAGCCACACUGGGACUGAGACACGGCCCAG
This 219-nucleotide ribosomal RNA is filed under the name uncultured bacterium. RNAcentral describes it as "partial 16S ribosomal RNA". It matches the Rfam family "Bacterial small subunit ribosomal RNA", at positions 113 to 334 of the family's 1533-position model. The record is from RNAcentral.